RNAcentral lists this ribosomal RNA (506 nucleotides) under Staphylococcus aureus. Its description in RNAcentral is "partial 23S ribosomal RNA". It matches the Rfam family "Bacterial large subunit ribosomal RNA", at positions 1027 to 1536 of the family's 2925-position model. Lineage: Bacteria; Bacillati; Bacillota; Bacilli; Caryophanales; Staphylococcaceae. The record is from RNAcentral.
CCAGACCACCAGCUAAGGUCCCAAAAUAUAUGUUAAGUGGAAAAGGAUGUGGCGUUGCCCAGACAACUAGGAUGUUGGCUUAGAAGCAGCCAUCAUUUAAAGAGUGCGUAAUAGCUCACUAGUCGAGUGACACUGCGCCGAAAAUGUACCGGGGCUAAACAUAUUACCGAAGCUGUGGAUUGUCCUUUGGACAAUGGUAGGAGAGCGUUCUAAGGGCGUUGAAGCAUGAUCGUAAGGACAUGUGGAGCGCUUAGAAGUGAGAAUGCCGGUGUGAGUAGCGAAAGACGGGUGAGAAUCCCGUCCACCGAUUGACUAAGGUUUCCAGAGGAAGGCUCGUCCGCUCUGGGUUAGUCGGGUCCUAAGCUGAGGCCGACAGGCGUAGGCGAUGGAUAACAGGUUGAUAUUCCUGUACCACCUAUAAUCGUUUUAAUCGAUGGGGGGACGCAGUAGGAUAGGCGAAGCGUGCGAUUGGAUUGCACGUCUAAGCAGUAAGGCUGAGUAUUAGG